AUUGAACGCUGGCGGCAUGCCUAACACAUGCAAGUCGAACGAGUGGCGGACGGGUGAGUAAUGUCUGGGAAACUGCCUGUUGGAGGGGGAUAACUACUGGAAACGGUGGCUAAUACCGCAUACCAUCAUAUUUGCCCAGAUGGGAUUAGCUAGUUGGUGGGGUAACGGCUCACCAAGGCGACGAUCCCUAGCUGGGCUGAGAGGAUGACCGGCCACCCUGGAACUGAGAAACGGUCCAGACUCCAACGGUAGGAAGAAGUGGGGAAUAUUGCACAAUGGGCGCAAGCCUGAUACAGCCAGGCCGGGUGUAUGAAGAAGGCCUUCGGGUUGUAAAGUAUUUUCAGCGGGGAGGCGUUACCCGAAGAAGAAGCACCGGCUAACUCCGUGCCAGCAGCCGCGGUAAUAC
RNAcentral lists this ribosomal RNA (406 nucleotides) under uncultured bacterium. RNAcentral describes it as "partial 16S ribosomal RNA". It matches the Rfam family "Bacterial small subunit ribosomal RNA", at positions 30 to 526 of the family's 1533-position model. The record is from RNAcentral.